CUCCCUGUGGAAACGAUGGAAACAACACCAUCUAGAUGUGUUGAAACCCAUACUAAUUUAUCUCUUCUUAGUGAUCCUUUCCUUUUUUUUUUCCAGAGAUUAUUUGGAGAAGUAAAUACAAUACUAAUCUCAAUCUGCAAAACCUAAAACUCGUCCUUUAUCAAUGUUUUAAUUUCUAUUUUGAAUCUUGUAUGUUGCAGCUAAUUUACCUGCUUCAGCUUAUAAAUCCGGAGAAAAGCAUCAUGAAUCAGUUAUGUCUUUGUUCUCAAACCCUAAAAAAUGUGAUUUUUGUGAAUUUUUUUAACACUAGAACCCUAGAAAUUUGUGUACAGAAAAGUGGAGUGAUGUAUGAGUGACGAUGAAGAUACUGAAGAAGAAGAAGAAUCUGAGGAGUUGUAAUCGUUUCAAUGAUUAUCCUCUUGAUUCUCCCAUCCAAGAUGAGUUUCUUUCCCUUGUCAUUAGAUCUUUUUUGGGUUUCAUUGGAUACAUGUUGAGAAAUCUUAUUAUGAUUUAAGAUAAAUUAAGGAUGCUGAGAUAUGGAUUUUAAAUAAGUUUUUCUUAUGGAGAUGUUAAUAGCAUACCGAUAUAGUAAGAAUCUAGCUAAAAGUUAAACUUGAUUGUUUGGUUUGUACUGUAGAAAGAAAAUUUGUAAUUGACGCUCCUGCAAUUCUUACAUGUGUUGUGCCGAAUGUAAUUCGGGUUUGAUCCUACUAAAGGUGGAACACCUGAGGUCUUUUUCAAAGAUGAGGCUAAUCUUGAACAGGUUGAUUGUACUAGACAGAAGAAUCAAAUAGAUCCUGGAAGAGAUGGAUGUACAAGUAAACCAAGUUGGUAAGAAAGUACAGCUAGGGAACUAUGAAGACUACUUGUCCUGAAGGCAGGUUUUUGAAUUGACUAUGAAUGCAGCUUAUGAGUCCAGGGUUUUGAGGGUUUUGGUGAUGAUUGUGUUGUGGUGGUGAUGAAACAGUGCGCCAAGGUCCAAUAAUGAACAUGGAAGAAACUCACUGAUCACUUGUAUGUCUUAUGAAUUCUUGUGAUGGGGAGUUAGCUUUGACAGGAUGGGGUACCUCAGACUGCGAUGUAGUAAUCUUGCCUUAACUGAAGCAUGCAUUUUGUCUUUGCAUAUUGCGAUACAGGUCACUUUGAUCUUGAUGGGAAGCCAAGCUUUUGAUUAUAAAUGUGCGUAAGCUACAGUGACGGAGGUGGGGGGUGGCUUACCCAGGCUGUAGCCCACCCCAAAAUGUAGAAAACCUCAUCUUUCCUAGCGUAGUUGUCAACCAAAAAAAUAAUAGCCCAGGUUAAAAUUGAAGUCAGCCCAUUAAUUCACAAACUACACUCACGGGAUUUCACUUUACCACGCGACUGUUUUCAUUCCCUCUCUAAUACAGAAAGAAAACAAGUCAAAAUUGUAGUUAUCUUUCGUCUUCUUUAUAGUUUUUAGGUUAGAAUUAGGGGCUCAAACACUGAAACUUUGUUGCCGUACAAACAAUCGAAGGUUCUCUCGCAACCACAAUCCAAUAUCAAACCAUCAUCUAUAAGUUCACGUAUUCACUGAUAAUAGGAUUGGCAGUGGAGAUAUCAGUAUUGAAGGAGCACAAAAUGUAGAAGGUGAGGAAGCUAAUGGUGCAAGAGGUAAACACUAAGAAAUUGAUCAUUUAUAAGGCACCAGGGUACAUUUAAAUCCCCACAUAUACAACAAUGGGGUGUGCUAAUGACUUCAUGAAUCAACGUCAAGAUCUUGCAACAAUGUUUAAUGAGCAAUCCGUAGUUAUGGCUAAAAACAGGUUGCCUCUGGAUUAUUUCAUGGGUCUCUAUAUCUAAACUAGAUUGAGUGAUGUCUUUGUGAUUGUUGUCCACUGUUUUUGUAAGAGUCUGAAACAAAGGAUGGACUAACUCAAUGUGUGGUGUUUGAAGCGAUAGAAUACUGUGUUGCGCGCUUUGCUCACUUCAGGUCUGUCUGAAGAUUUUGCUCUUCCAUUAUUAUGAUUAGGGGUGGUGCUAAUCUAUUGCGCAGAAUAAACACUAUUCUUAUAGUUACUCCCUUUUGAGGGCCAGAUUGAUUUCAUCAAAGGCCCCUCUGUCCAGGAUGGUGAAAAGGUCCAGAACAUAUGAUCAUCUUAGCUUUGACCUUUCAAUGAUGGUUGUUGUCUUCUAGUUUUACUAGAAAGUUUAUGACUAAGAUGGGUUGUGUCUUAUCAAACAGUAUGUAGAUCAACUGCCAAGUGAUCAUCCUGACAGUUCUAGUGACAAAUCAGAGUUACAGAAACUCCCGAUGGGCAUUCUUAUCUUAGCUGCAUAAUUGGGUUUCCUUAAUUGUAUUUCAAAGUUCAUCUAAACUCUUGACAAGCACUCGUUACAUGAUGGUGUAUCAUGUGAUGCUGAUGAUUUUGCCUAUUAGCGAUGUCAAACUUCUUAGGUUGCAUCAUCGAACACCCAAUUGGCAACUAGAUGAUUGUUUUAUCUGCUUGGAUGAUAGAAAGACACAUCCAAUCUAUCCUUAUCAAGAGGAACUACAGCGCAUCCCUUCUUGAUAUAUUUACAAAAGAUGGUACUUUUCUGAGCAAGCAAAGACUACUCAUAUUGUUGAAUAUUUGGGAUAUUGUUCGUACAAUAAAAUUGCAUGCUUUGUUUUGGAGUCCACUAGCAUAUACUGUCAAGUAUUUCGUUUUCACCUUUUCAAACUGUGUGCCGUAUAUGCUGAAAAUUUCCCGUGAUUUCCUGCUUUCUGUGAAACAGAUUAAACAAACAUGGACGUUAUACCAAUAUAUGUGAUUUCGUGAUAUCAUGUAUGAUGUUGUCUCCAAAUGAGGAUGUUAACAGGUGGUCACUUUGUCUGGAUAAUGUCAAUCUGUCCAGACGAUGUCAUUUUGGUUUCUUUGAGAUGCUAGUCUUUAUCUUCUUUUGGACAAGUUGUGGUGCUUGUUAUGAACUUGUAAUAAGAUGUUUCUUUUGGAAAAAAUCUUUCUUCCAUUUUUCUUUGAUUUUAUGAUGAAACAUUCAAACUUCAA
Molecule: long non-coding RNA, 3008 nt
Organism: Papaver somniferum (opium poppy)
Lineage: Eukaryota; Viridiplantae; Streptophyta; Magnoliopsida; Ranunculales; Papaveraceae
Exons: 7
Source: RefSeq, a predicted model, not a curated record